CGGAGAGNGAGCCUGAAAAACGGCUACCACAUCCAAGGAAGGCAGCAGGCGCGUAAAUUACCCAAUCCUGAUACAGGGAGGUAGUGACAAUAAAUAACAAUGCCGGGCCAUCAUUGGUCUGGCAAUUGGAAUGAGAACAAUUUAAAUCCCUUAUCGAGGAUCAAUUGGAGGGCAAGUCUGGUGCCAGCAGCCGCGGUAAUUCCAGCUCCAAUAGCGNAUAUUAAAGCUGUUGCAGCUAAAAAGC
This 244-nucleotide ribosomal RNA is filed under the name uncultured organism. Its description in RNAcentral is "partial small subunit ribosomal RNA". It matches the Rfam family "Eukaryotic small subunit ribosomal RNA", at positions 384 to 627 of the family's 1831-position model. The record is from RNAcentral.